This 291-nucleotide long non-coding RNA is filed under the name Elaeis guineensis (African oil palm). RNAcentral describes it as "long non-coding RNA (EGUI_LNC024098)". Lineage: Eukaryota; Viridiplantae; Streptophyta; Magnoliopsida; Arecales; Arecaceae. The record is from RNAcentral.
UCUUUUCCUUCUCCUCUAUAGAUGUCCAAGAGUUGGACAAGCUUCUCUAUCUCCUUCUCCUCUAUAAUCAGUCCAAAAAUUGGUUGGAAAGAAAAGAAAAGAGAUUGAAUCUCUUGUUCCUUUUCUUUAGAUCUUCUUCUUUCUCUUGAGAAGAGAAAGAGAAAAGAAGUCAGAUUAGAUCCAAUUUCUUGAUUCUCUUAUAAAUCUCUUUGAUUUUUUUAAGAAGAGAAUCAAAAGAGAUCAAAGAUUCAAUAAUUCAAAAAGUGAUCUCUGCAAGGGAGCUAGCACCCC